RNAcentral lists this long non-coding RNA (682 nucleotides) under Musa acuminata (dwarf banana). Its description in RNAcentral is "long non-coding RNA (MACU_LNC005692)". The record is from RNAcentral. Lineage: Eukaryota; Viridiplantae; Streptophyta; Magnoliopsida; Zingiberales; Musaceae.
GUGUCACCUCAGAAUCUGCAUCAUUGCUCUCUGAUACAGAGCCAUCUCCUUCUAUGGGUUCCUUCUCUGAUGAAAGCUCAAAGGAAUGUUCUGACUCCGAGCCCAUCAUUUUAAUCUUUGUAGAAUCUGCAGCAGGUAAUGAUGGUCAGAAAUAUUCUCAAUUACAAACAUUAGAGUUAAGAGUACAUCUCUCAUCUCAUCUAGAAGGUCUUUGAUCUCAUCUAAAAACAAGGCUGGUUUUCCAGGCUUACUGAUUCUAUGGGACAAUAAGCUAUAAUUUUCACCCAGGCAAUUGGCGCAUGUUCUCCAUUACCUCACAUCAAACGAUAAGUUGUUUUUGAAAAAAUGGCAUACACUGUCUUGUGGAAAAAGAAAACAAAAAGCAUUUAGGAGAUGAUCCAUCUCUAUGACCUUGUUCUUAUACUCAGCAUGCACUAUAAAGCAGCCAUUAGCAAUCAUCAAUCAUAUAAGAUAACCUACUUAUACUACAUGGGAUGAUUGAUAGGCAUUACCAUUUGCAGUCACAUCUGGAGUAGGGGAAGGACUUCUGCUAAUUGUUGUUGUGGAGGUUUCUGAGUCCCCCCUCUUUUGUUCAGCAGUUAAAACAGAAGACAGCGCAGCAACAGCAGCUGCUCGCUGUGACCCUUGGUUUGACCGUGAAGGCUUUGGUGCUGUAGUUUUG